AUAUAUAUAUAUAGAGUCCAGCUAUGGUGCUUGUAAAAGCACUAAGUACCUGGUGCUUGUAAGUAUUUUACCGUUAGAUCUACUCCUUGGAUUAUUUUCAAUCAUUAGAUUAUACUAUUCAACCAACCACCCACUCAACCCUAGGGCGCCCACAUCAUCCUAACCGCACAUCUCUUAAUCCAAUGGCUAAAAAUCUACAAGCACUAAUAACUUGGUACUUUAAAAGCAUAGGAGUUCAAUUAUAUAUAUAUAUAUAUAUAUACACAUAGAACUAGGCUACUAUACUAUCGGUAGCACGGAGCGCUCCGUUAAAUUUACAAAUGCAUCACAUCUACCAUUAAAAUUGUCAAUUUUGAAACCUUUUGAUCACUAGCGAAAUGAUGUCGAAAAAUUCUAAAAUUUAGUUUCCCACUAUUUUCAAUAGUGUAGAUCAAGUCUAACGGAGCCGAUCGUCGAUUUGGAAGCCGCAUCAUUGAAAACAACUUGGUAGCACGGAAGCCUCCGUGCUACCGAUAGUAUACCAGCCUA
Molecule: long non-coding RNA, 528 nt
Filed under: Ananas comosus (pineapple)
Lineage: Eukaryota; Viridiplantae; Streptophyta; Magnoliopsida; Poales; Bromeliaceae
Description: long non-coding RNA (ACOM_LNC018308)
Source: RNAcentral